Quercus robur (English oak) is the source of this 1044-nucleotide long non-coding RNA. RefSeq lists it as uncharacterized. The record is from RefSeq and is a predicted model, not a curated record. The transcript is spliced from 3 exons. Lineage: Eukaryota; Viridiplantae; Streptophyta; Magnoliopsida; Fagales; Fagaceae.
AAACUUCUCCACUCUCUUCUCUCACAAUACUUAUCUUCCUCCUCUCUACCUCCUUCGCUCUCCGUUUAGGGAUAUGGUUAUUAGUCAAGUACCACCUAAGUUUCCGACAAGGAGAGCUUGUACUUCCUUUGUUUCGAGCAAGUUUGCCAUGGGUGUCAACCGUCAAAUUCUAAUAAUAUUUGAUGUGUAUGGCUUCGACAGCGGAUAGAAGCGUUGUGAGCAGCUUCGUUGCUGCGAAAUUGGUGUCAACCGUUUUGUUGUUUGAGGUCUGGGAUGCCAUAAAAUGGCAUCUUAAGAAACGUGAAUUUAAGAGUUUGGAUCCAAACCCAAAUCCCACGUUUGAAUGCUUUUUAUGGCCAAUUGAACAGCCUAAAUGCGGCUCUGUACUUAGCCAUCAGACUGAAGCAUUCAAUUUUGGAAGCUAUUUAUAACCGACUGAACAGUGAUGAAGCACUAUCUUUCAUUGAAGCAUUUCACUCGCUUCUUGGUGAACUCGCCUUGUUUCCAACUGCAUUAAUUGGUUUACACUUCCAAGUCUUGGGUGUCUCGCCACUUCAUACACAUUUUCCUAUCAUCUUGCUUUUCUUCAUGGCUACAAUCGUCCAUCACAUUGCAUAUAUGGGGAUAAAACUACAACCUCAAGAUGCUGGAUACCUUCCCAUAUUGAGGUUCAUUUGUUUGGUUUCUGGAAUUAUUGCUAUUGAGCUACUCUUUGCAAUAAUCAUCUCUCCCUUUUGGCUAUUCAUGGUUAAUUUAUGCCCAAUCCUGAUCCUAGGGGUACAUCAUUUGUACCAACUAAUUUAUCAGUGUGUUUACUACACAGCUAAUUUAGGACUUGAUGCAGUCUGUAGCUUGUUUAAAAAGAUUUGUCAAUUAGUUGAACAGAUAUAUGAUUGGGUCCAACAAAAAUUCUAGCAAGCAGCUUCUCAAGCAUUUUCUUAAAGGGAACAGGAAGACAAUGGUACGUAUUAGAUGGAAAAAAAUUGUCUCAAUGACAUGUUAUUGUUAAUUAGACAUAAAGUAAGCAAAAUUUUCUCUUUCACA